GCUCAGAAGGAAAGCUGGCGGCGUGCUCCAGACAUGCAAGAUCAAACGCGAAAGGUUCCUUCGGGAACUGAUUAGGGUGGCGCAUGGCCCGAGUAACACGUAGGUAAUUUACCUUUGGGUGGGGAAUAACAAUCGGAAACGAUUGCUAAUACCGCAUAAUGCAGCGGCUCGACAUCGAGACAGUUGUUAAAGCGGGGGAUCGCAAGACCUCGCGCCUGAAGAGAAGCCUGCGGUAGAUUAGCUUGUUGGUAGGGUAAUGGCCUACCAAGGCGACGAUCUGUAGCCGGCCUGAGAGGGCGGUCGGCCACACUGACACUGAAUAACGGGUCAGACUCCUACGGGAGGCAGCAGUGGG
Molecule: ribosomal RNA, 355 nt
Filed under: uncultured Acidobacteriota bacterium
Lineage: Bacteria; Pseudomonadati; Acidobacteriota
Description: bacterial SSU rRNA
Rfam family: Bacterial small subunit ribosomal RNA
Source: RNAcentral